UGGAAAACAAUAUAAAGUACAGCGAGCUCUAACACUGUAUGGCUUUCCAUCAUGAUUCAUAAAGACAAUGAGUGUGUUUUUCACGGUUCCUGUGUUUAAUAGGGAAACAGUAUAGCCCUGUCUUGCUCAUCAGUGUGAACAGACUACUAUACAGCAUGUGCUUUUACCACUGAGAAUGAAAGAGAAUUAUAAAGAUGGAGGGAGUAUGAUGGCGGAUAAAAGAGAAUACGGUAGAAGAUUCCGUAGUGAUUGUCUUCUUCUUGGAGGGAGGAAGGGAAGGCUGGGGGAUGGAAGGAGCUGACAUGAACAGAGAGGGAGAUUGAUUGGUGAGGCAGAAGAGGGGUGUGUUCCCGGCGGAGGAGCUAGAGAAAUAGGCGGAUGACGAAAGAUAAGGUGGUCGCGAGAGGAGCGAGAUCUCGCUUUAACCCUUAGAGAGGCUGUCCGUUGGUCGGACGGGGUUGCGUGCGCUCGCAUCCGUUUACCGAGAACGGGCUCCAGCAUCUCCAUCUUCUCCUCAACCGAGCCGAUGGAUCUUUGGAGUCAAGCCAAGAUGUGACCGUCAUGUUUUAGAUAGAAAACAGAACCCCUGUUUCUAUAGAAACAGAAAUAAUUGACAAUUAGAAAACUAUUAUUCCUAAAAUGCACUCCUCUAGCCGAACCUUCGCUCCGCCCUCGAGGCCUCGUCGCAUCGACACGAGCAGGCGGACCACCACCGCAGCGGAACCAAAGACACACGGCCCUGUUUCCCAGAGGGAAGACAAAAACAUGAACACCAUUUCCUCUCCUCGGCGCUCCACCAAAGCGACCCCCGAGUCUUCCAGGACCAGGGUGGGGGUCCAGCCUCGUGCCCCCAGAUUGGGCUUACAGAGAAACACAGCUCCCCUCUCUACGACCAAACCCAAACCCAAAAGUGUCCGUGCAGCAGCAGCUGUGUCCAAACGCGCCCCUCCUCCUCCUCCUCUUCCUCUUCUUCCUCAUCUGGACCCCAACUGUAAUGAACCCAGCCUGCCUUGUCUGUGCUGCGACGGCCAUUCCCCCCAGGACAAUAACAGUCUGUUCAACCACAACCACAACAACAACAAUACCAUCUCCAUCAGACAGCAGCUGAAGCUUCAGCCCCCUCCACCACCUCCCCUGCUACCCCAGAGACAGGAGGGGACAGGGGGCAAGACCAAGACACAGGCCAGCCCCUCUCAGACCAGGCCCCAGCCUCAGGUCCUGGCCCCGGCCUGCCCCCCUAAUGGCCUGGAACUGGAGAAAGGAAUAAAAGAUGAGGAGAAUGCAGAUGUUAACAAGAACACAGAUGUGGUCAUAGAUAACAAGAAAGAAACAGAGGAAGAGAUGGAUAACAAGAAAGAAAUGGAGGAAGAGAUGGAUAACAAGAAAGAAACGGAGGAAGAGAUGGAUAACAAGAAAGAAACAGAGGAGGAAGAGAUGGAUAACAAGAAAGAAACAGAGGAAGAGAUGGAUAACAAGAAAGAAACAGAGGAGGAAGAGAUGGAUAACAAGAAAGAAACAGAGGAGGAAGAGAUGGAUAACAAGAAAGAAACAGAGGAGGAAGAGAUGGAUAACAAGAAAGAAACGGAGGAGGAAGAAGAAAACAGUGUAUGAUGAUGAUGAUGAUGAUGAUGAUGAUGACACAUUGGUCCCAUCGUGCUGUGACUUCCCUCCCUCUCUCCUGGAUCUCUCCCUGACCUCCUCCACCUCCUCAUCCUCCACUUCCAUCAGCUCCUGCUCCGAUCUGGAGUCAGACUGCGCCGAUCUCUCCAUCUCUCUCUCGUCCUCUGGCCACAAGGGGAACGCUGAUCUGUUAAUCUCUCAGGACCACACUCUCAUUCACGUUCCUGAACGCUACCCAGCCUCCCGUUCACCCCCAGUCCUGCUCCUCAACCCCAAACCCCCCUCUGUCUCUCGUUGCCCUUCCUCCCCCCCACACGCCUGCUCCCCAGACGAGGGCUACCCCUCCGCCCCCGCCUCCCCCUCCUCCUCUGACUACCUGGGGGUCAAAGGUCAGACAGGCUUAGGGUCAGAGGUCGCCAAACUAGGCCUCCUGGACUUCCUGGAGUCAGUGGGAGACUUUGGAAAGAUGGAGCGCUUUAGCCAGGUGAUUCAGGUGGCUCGCUGGGACCUGGAGGGGGAUCCUCAGGGGGAUCUACUGAGGGAUCGACUGGAUCACCUGGACCGACUGGAGAGUGUCAACAGGCAGGUGAAGCUGGCCCACAUCGCCAGGCUCCAUGAGAAGGGACUGGAUCUAGGUGAUCUGGGCAAGGAGGAUCUCUCUGAUGUUCUGGAUGAGAUGGGGAACGUGGAUAUGUCUUGGAAGCUGUAUAAGGGCCGGGGAGGGUCGUUGGGAGAUUCCCAGGAGUUCUCUGAUGCUGGAGUGGAUCUGACAGCACCUUCAGACUGUGACGAGCCCCUGGUCUCACAAUCAGAGACCUCUUCGCCCAUAGAGCCCCCACCGAGACCCCCCAAACCCCCUGCCCGCUAUGCCAGCGUGAACUCUGAACUCCACACCUACAUCAACAUCAGCCGUGACAUCACCCCCUCCGUCUCUGUCUGCACCUCUCCAUCCUCAUCCCCCACUUUCUACACCUUCAGGUGUGAGAAGGCCCUCCCUCCUUCCCCACGCUCCGUCCACCCUCCUCUUCUCUGUCAGCCCAUCCCUUACUUUACUCUCUACAAAUCUUCCCCUCUCCCAUUCUCCCUCCCCUCCUCCACUCCCCCC
This 2725-nucleotide long non-coding RNA is filed under the name Salmo salar (Atlantic salmon). Its description in RNAcentral is "lncRNA (ENSSSAG00000084009.1)". The record is from RNAcentral. Lineage: Eukaryota; Metazoa; Chordata; Actinopteri; Salmoniformes; Salmonidae.